UACGUAGGGUGCAAGCGUUAAUCGGAAUUACUGGGCGUAAAGCGUGCGCAGGCGGUUAUGCAAGACAGAUGUGAAAUCCCCGGGCUUAACCUGGGAAUGGCAUUUGGGACUGCAAGGCUUGAGUGCGGCAGAGGAGACUAGAAUUCCUGGUGUAGCAGUGAAAUGCGUAGAUAUCAGGAGGAAUACCGAUGGCGAAGGCAGGUCUCUGGGCUGACACUGACGCUCAUGCACGAAAGCGUGGGGAGCAAACAGG
This 253-nucleotide ribosomal RNA is filed under the name uncultured bacterium. RNAcentral describes it as "partial 16S ribosomal RNA". It matches the Rfam family "Bacterial small subunit ribosomal RNA", at positions 524 to 776 of the family's 1533-position model. The record is from RNAcentral.